AUUUAUAUAGUUUAAAAAAAACAUUACGCUUUCAUUGUAAAAUUAAGACUUUUUAUAAAUA
This 61-nucleotide transfer RNA is filed under the name Dictyoptera aurora. Its description in RNAcentral is "tRNA-Glu". Lineage: Eukaryota; Metazoa; Arthropoda; Insecta; Coleoptera; Lycidae. The record is from RNAcentral.